RNAcentral lists this ribosomal RNA (3547 nucleotides) under Triticum aestivum (bread wheat). RNAcentral describes it as "partial small subunit ribosomal RNA". Lineage: Eukaryota; Viridiplantae; Streptophyta; Magnoliopsida; Poales; Poaceae. The record is from RNAcentral.
AAACCAUCUGGGUCCGUCCAGUGCACCCAUGCCCGACAAUGCGAGCCAGAGACUAGUCUACUCCUUCAAUGUACUAAUUCAAUGCGGCGCACGACCGUCUCACGCACGCACCCGCGCCUUCUUAUUCUUAAACCACGCCACACCACACGAGCGCGAGCGAGCUGCAGAGUGGGUCGACGGGCAAACAUGGCCGCCUCUUCCUCGCUCCUCGCCGUCGUCCCGGCGCUCCUCCUCCUCCUCCUCAUCGCGCCAGCGCCGGCAGCAGCAGCGAGCCCCUCCAAGCGCGCCACCCACCAGCCCCCUCCUUUCCCCGCACGAGCUUCUCCCCUGCAUCAGCGGGCGGCAAGCUCGAGCGGCAGGUACGCCGCCUCCGCCGCGGCAGCGACGGACAACGGCACGGCGAAGCCGUUCACGGCUCACUACUUCCAGCAGGAGCUGGACCACUUCACCUUCACGCCCAACGCCUCCGGCCUCUUCUCCCACAAGUACCUCCUCAACGACACCUUCUGGCGGCGGAAGCCCACCGCCGGCCCGCUGUUCGUGUACAUGGGCAACGAGGGCGACAUCGAGUGGUUCGCCACCAACACCGGCUUCAUGUUCGACAUCGCGCCCGAGUUCGGCGCCCUCCUCGUCUUCAUCGAGCAUCGUUUCUACGGGGAGUCGAAGCCGUUCGGGAACGACUCGUACAAGUCGGCCGACACGCUGGGCUACCUGACGUCCACGCAGGCGCUGGCCGACUUCGCCGUCCUCAUCACCAGCCUCAAGCAUAACCUCUCCGCCGUCGACGCCCCGGUCGUCGUCUUCGGCGGCUCCUACGGCGGCAUGCUGGCAUCAUGGUUCAGGCUCAAGUACCCCCACGUCGCCAUGGGAGCUCUGGCGUCCUCUGCACCCAUCCUGCAGUUCGAGGACAUCACCCCGUGGUCUAGCUUCUACGACGCCGUCUCGCAGGACUUCAAGUCCGAGAGCCUGAAUUGCUUCAGUGUCAUCAAGGCGGUCUGGGAUGUGCUUGAUGACAGGGGAUCCAGCGACACAGGCCUCUUGGAGCUCAGCAAAACAUUCAGGGCCUGCAAGACCGUGCGCUUCCCUAGUUCGCUGUCCAACUGGCUAUGGACCGCAUUCACAUACACAGCCAUGGUGGACUAUCCAACUCCAGCCAAUUUCAUGAUGAAUCUGCCUGCUUACCCUGUCAAGGAGAUGUGCAAGAUCAUUGAUUCUUUUCCCGCGGGUGCAGACGUCGUCGAAAAAGCUUUCGCAGCGGCGAGUCUGUACUACAAUUACACAGGCGACCAGAAAUGCUUCCAGGUAGAGGGUGGGGAUGACCCCCAUGGCCUCAGCGGCUGGGGCUGGCAGGCUUGCACAGAGAUGGUCAUGCCAAUGACGGUGUCGAAUGAGAGCAUGUUUCCGCCAUCCGGCUUCAGCUACGAAGAGAAGUCCGAGGGCUGCUUUGCCAGCUAUGAGGUUCGCCCGAGGAUGAACUGGAUCACUACUGAAUAUGGUGGCCAUAAAAUUGACAAAGUUCUCAAGAAGUUUGGGAGCAACAUCAUCUUCUCCAACGGGAUGCGAGACCCGUGGAGUCGAGGGGGGGUUCUCAAGAACAUAUCAUCCAGCAUCAUUGCUCUUGUCACAGAGAAAGGGGCCCAUCAUUUGGACUUCAGAUCUGCAACCAAGGAUGACCCAGACUGGGUUGUAGAACAAAGGAGACAGGAAGUUGAGAUCAUACAUGGAUGGAUAGAUCAGUAUAACAAGUACAUUGCACAGAUGUAGCAGUAAGAAGGUGCCAUUGAUUUCACAGUUGAGGAAAAUAAAUAUGUGGCCACUUGCAAAAAAUAUAAGGAUUUGCCUUUCUUUUACAGGGCAAUGGGUGCAAAAAUUAAAAUAACAUAUCAGUGCAAUUGCAAUUCAAUAACUUGUCACUCAAUACCAGAAAUUCUAAAACUUAUGCGAAUAAUGAAUGCAAAGCUUCUCUUUGCUCUGAAACUGUUGCGAUGAAUAUUGAACUCGGGGGCAUACAUGUAUUUGUCCCCACAGAAAAUUUAAUUGCACAAUUUUGACAUGCGCCCUGUCUAUGACGCGUGGGUCCAAACCAACAAUCAUAGACAGGGGAAAUGUGUUCUACUUUGCAGGGAAUAUCCCAUGGAAAGAAGCAAUAUUGCAUAUCAUAGCACCUUUGUUCUUCGCAAUAAAUAUAAUAUUUCUUAUGAUCCCUAGAAAAGAGCACCAAUUUAAAAGAAGUGCUGCUAUGCAUACGAUGCUAUGGGUCCGAUUUUUUGUAAGACAAUGAAGAUCGAGCCAUCUUUGCAUUGGAGUAAACUGGUAAACUGUAGCAUGACAAUUGAAUAGUCAUCGUUCUAUGAUCGUAUUAAUAAGUAUCAUACUCGCAGGUGAUGUUUGUCGAAGCUUGCAACCCUGCUUCUAACUAGACUACCACAAUUUUCACAAUUUCGCGGUUACAAUCUGCAAGAUCAACAGCCGGCGAACACAUAUGCAGAAACAUCUCUCGCGAAAUUCGUGAAGGGGGUGCUUGGUUAGACAUAAUUUAUGACUUUUUGGUUUUUGGCUUAUAAGCCAAAAAAACCUAUUUGUGUGCUUUUUUCUUUCGCUUUUAGCUUUAUAUAUUAUGUGCUUUUUGGCAUAUAAGCUAAAUUCAAAAGCCAAAAGUAAGCCUAACCAAACACCCUCGAAAGCAUCAUCUCCAGAGAAUUCCUGCAGUGAGAAACUUGAUUUGGAUACAUCUGACCAGCUCAACAAAUUCACUAUGCCAAGCCUGAAAAGUCUAGAGAUAGUGUCAAAUCACCAUAAAGAAGACAAAAGUAAAAUGAACUAGCAUUUUGCGGUGAAAGAAUGAGACAAGUUCUUGCGUCAUUGCGCAUGUUGAAAAUAAUAUCAUCCAUUGUGAAGGCAUUGAGUUGAUCAUUAAGACCUCCUUGAUAACCUAUGCUGUUUUGCAUAGGGAGGAUGUCAUUUGCAUCCCGGUCAUUAAGCAGGUAAGUUGUUGUGACAAUACUAUCUGGCCGAAGGUGGGACAAUGCAAAACUGGUACUCCCAAGAUUAACCAUCCGAGCCGGCGCCAAUGAAGCACUACCAGUACCAGGUGCAAAGUUCUCAUUCAACAUCAUCCCUGUCGAGCUUCCAUGGCUUGCCAUGUUUGAAUGGCCCCACUGGCUCAUUUAAGCCCCCACUGUUGUAGUGUGCAUUCGACAUCCCUGCAUUGCUUACUAUGUGGAAUGGUGCCAUCCGCUUACUGAAGUCUUCCAUUGAUGUAGCAAUGUGAUAUCCCACAAGUGUAGGGGUCAAUUGUAGACCUUUUCGAUAAGUAAGAGGGUUGAACCCAAUGAUAAGCACAAGGAAUUGGUGAGCAGAAAAUUGUUUGGAUUUACUGCAAGUACUAAAAAAAUGUGGCCAUGUUCUAUUUUGUUGUUGGAGAGUUGCAAGAAUAACUAGCAAUACAAUUAAAAUAAUAUAACUUGUGGCAUGAUCAUUAAUUGUGCUAGGACAAGCAUGUAGUGUUUCUUAUGUGGACUAAAAAGUUCUGGCAAGAAUACCGCAC